UUCCCAACUCUUGAAGAUGGCGGC
Molecule: non-coding RNA, 24 nt
Filed under: Cricetulus griseus (Chinese hamster)
Lineage: Eukaryota; Metazoa; Chordata; Mammalia; Rodentia; Cricetidae
Source: RNAcentral